GGUCACUGCUAUCGGGGUUUGAUUAAGCCAUGCGAGUCGAGAGGGUUCGGCCCUCGGCGUACUGCUCAGUAACACGUGGAUAACCUGCCCUAAGGAAGGGGAUAACCUCGGGAAACUGAGGAUAAUACCCUAUAGGAUACCGAUGCUGGAAUGCCCGGUAUCCCAAAGCUCCGGCGCCUUAGGAUGGAUCUGCGGCCGAUUAGGUCGUUGUUGGGGUAACGGCCCAACAAGCCGAUAAUCGGUACGGGUUGUGGGAGCAAGAGCCCGGAGUUGGAUUCUGAGACACGAAUCCAGGCCCUACGGGGCGCAGCAGGCGCGAAAACUUUACAAUGCGGGCAACCGUGAUAAGGGAACCUCGAGUGCCUGUACAUGCAGGCUGUCUGGGUGUCUAAAACACACCCAAAGAAAGGGCCGGGCAAGACCGGUGCCAGCCGCCGCGGUAAUACCGGCGGCUCGAGUGGUGGCCACUUUUAUUGGGCUUAAAGCGUUCGUAGCUGGGUUGUUAAGUCUCUUGGGAAAUCUGGCAGCUUAACUGUCAGGCGUCUAAGAGAUACUGGCAAUCUAGGAACCGGGAGAGGUGAGGGGUACUUCGGGGGUAGGAGUGAAAUCCUGUAAUCCUCGAGGGACCACCUGUGGCGAAGGCGCCUCACCAGAACGGCUUCGACAGUGAGGGACGAAAGCUGGGGGAGCAAACCGGAUUAGAUACCCGGGUAGUCCCAGCCGUAAACGAUGCGCGUUAGGUGUGUCGAUGACCACGAGUCAUCGAGGUGCCGAAGGGAAACCGUGAAACGCGCCGCCUGGGAAGUACGGUCGCAAGGCUGAAACUUAAAGGAAUUGGCGGGGGAGCACCACAACAGGUGGAGCCUGCGGUUUAAUUGGACUCAACGCCGGGAAGCUCACCGGAUAGGACAGCAGAAUGAUUGCCGGGCUGAAGACUCUGCAUGACUAGCUGAGAGGAGGUGCAUGGCCGUCGUCAGUUCGUACUGUGAAGCAUCCUGUUAAGUCA
Molecule: ribosomal RNA, 1006 nt
Filed under: uncultured euryarchaeote
Lineage: Archaea; Methanobacteriati; Methanobacteriota
Description: bacterial SSU rRNA
Rfam family: Archaeal small subunit ribosomal RNA
Source: RNAcentral